RNAcentral lists this ribosomal RNA (497 nucleotides) under uncultured bacterium. Its description in RNAcentral is "partial 16S ribosomal RNA". It matches the Rfam family "Bacterial small subunit ribosomal RNA", at positions 28 to 507 of the family's 1533-position model. The record is from RNAcentral.
GAUGAACGCUGGCGGCGUGCCUAAUACACGCAAGUCGAGCGAACAGACGAGGAGCUUGCUCCUCUGACGUUAGCGGCGGACGGGUGAGUAACACGUGGAUAACCUACCUAUAAGACUGGGAUAACUUCGGGAAACCGGAGCUAAUACCGGAUAAUAUAUUGAACCGCAUGGUUCAAUAGUAAAAGACGGUUUUGCUGUCACUUAUAGAUGGAUCCGCGCCGCAUUAGCUAGUUGGUAAGGUAACGGCUUACCAAGGCAACGAUGCGUAGCCGACCUGAGAGGGUGAUCGGCCACACUGGAACUGAGACACGGUCCAGACUCCUACGGGAGGCAGCAGUAGGGAAUCUUCCGCAAUGGGCGAAAGCCUGACGGAGCAACGCCGCGUGAGUGAUGAAGGUCUUCGGAUCGUAAAACUCUGUUAUUAGGGAAGAACAAAUGUGUAAGUAACUAUGCACGUCUUGACGGUACCUAAUCAGAAAGCCACGGCUAACUACGUG